Molecule: microRNA precursor, 88 nt
Filed under: Helianthus annuus (common sunflower)
Lineage: Eukaryota; Viridiplantae; Streptophyta; Magnoliopsida; Asterales; Asteraceae
Description: mir-395 microRNA precursor family
Rfam family: mir-395 microRNA precursor family
About the family: mir-395 was identified in both Arabidopsis thaliana and Oryza sativa computationally and was later experimentally verified. mir-395 is thought to target mRNAs coding for ATP sulphurylases. The mature sequence is excised from the 3' arm of the hairpin.
Source: RNAcentral
AUGUUCCUUAGAGUUCCUCUAAACACUUCAUUAGAAUGUCUUCUUUUAGAUUUCCUAUUGAAAUGUUUGGAGGAACUCCAAGAGGCGC